UACGGGAGGCAGCAGUGGGGGAUAUUGCACAAUGGAGGAAACUCUGAUGCAGCGACGCCGCGUGAGUGAAGAAGUAUUUCGGUAUGUAAAGCUCUAUCAGCAGGGAAGAAAGGCUCGAAAGAGAGAUGACGGUACCUGACUAAGAAGCCCCGGCUAACUACGUGCCAGCAGCCGCGGUAAU
Molecule: ribosomal RNA, 181 nt
Filed under: uncultured rumen bacterium
Lineage: Bacteria
Description: partial 16S ribosomal RNA
Rfam family: Bacterial small subunit ribosomal RNA
Source: RNAcentral